This 325-nucleotide ribosomal RNA is filed under the name Clostridioides difficile. RNAcentral's name for it is "partial 23S ribosomal RNA". It matches the Rfam family "Bacterial large subunit ribosomal RNA", at positions 69 to 395 of the family's 2925-position model. The record is from RNAcentral. Lineage: Bacteria; Bacillati; Bacillota; Clostridia; Peptostreptococcales; Peptostreptococcaceae.
CGAUAAGCUUCGGGGAGUUGCACGUAAACUUUGAUCCGAAGAUUUCCGAAUGAGGAAACUCACUUAGAGUAAUGUCUAAGUAUCAUUAAGUGAAUACAUAGCUUAAUGAGGGGAACUCAGGGAACUGAAACAUCUAAGUACCUGAAGGAAGAGAAAGAAAUUCGAUUCCGUAAGUAGCGGCGAGCGAACGCGGAUUAGCCCAAACCAAUAAAGUUUUCUUUAUUGGGGUUGUGGACAUAUCAUAACGAAGAGGUAUCGUAAUUGAAGAGGUUUGGAAAGACCCACCACAGAAGGUAAUAGUCCUGUAUGUUAAACGAGAAGACUU